GGGGAUGCGUGGUUUCGACAGGGGGUUUGUCGGGCAGGAUCGCAGGCCGAGUUCGUCACCCACUCGCGAAUCAGGUGGCAAAACAUCGACUGCCAAAGAACCAGUCGCACUGGCUGCCUAAAUAGUAGCCACGCUCCGGCCACCAACCCUGGCGGUGGACGGCAAGCGCUGAAGGCCGGGGUGCCGCGGUCCGGAUGCCGCUAGGGACCGCCCAAGAGCAGCGGCAGGCGGCUGAGUAGCCCGCCGGCGGGCGGCUCAGUCGUACGAUAAAGCGCCGGACAAGCCUGUAGCACAUCCGCGUUCGACGUCUCUUGGACGGGGAGUUCGACUCUCCCCCAUCUCCACCA
Molecule: transfer-messenger RNA, 347 nt
Filed under: Dehalococcoidia
Lineage: Bacteria; Bacillati; Chloroflexota
Also listed under: 2 other names
Description: JADFRC01 sp022574265 Standard tmRNA
Rfam family: transfer-messenger RNA
About the family: Bacterial tmRNA, also known as 10Sa RNA or SsrA, is named for its dual tRNA and mRNA-like properties. Its role is to liberate the mRNA from a stalled ribosome.
Source: RNAcentral